Salvelinus sp. IW2-2015 is the source of this 433-nucleotide long non-coding RNA. RefSeq lists it as uncharacterized. Lineage: Eukaryota; Metazoa; Chordata; Actinopteri; Salmoniformes; Salmonidae. The record is from RefSeq and is a predicted model, not a curated record.
CAACCACGCUUCCUCCUCAGGCACUGAUACAGGCAGAGUGAACACAUCAGCAAAAGAGGAUGACAAUCAGCAAAAGAAAAGAGAACUACGAUUCAUACACUGGAAACAAUGUGUACGUCAAGAACGAAAAUGAAUAGUUUGGGUUACCCAUGAAGAGCUGCAGGCCAAUGAGGGCAAACACACUGAGGCAGAACACGGUCAGGAUCAUCACGUCUGCCAGCUUCUUCACCGACUGGAUCAGCGCACCCACAAUGGUCUUCAGGCCUGCMCAAGGUCAAUAGAUGUCUAUGGUGUUGGCUCAAGAUGUCCAUGGUGUUGGCUCAAGAUGUCCAUGGUGUUGGCUCAAGAUGUCCAUGGUGUUGGCUCAAGAUGUCCAUGGUGUUAGCUCAAGAUGUCCAUGGUGUUAGCUCAAGAUGUCAAUGGUGUUAGCUCA